CACGCCGCCUGGGCGAAGGUCUUCUGCGGCGCACCGCCGGCGAUGGUGCCGUCGGCGUUCAGGUCCUCGCCGGCGAGG
This 78-nucleotide transfer RNA is filed under the name Pleomorphomonas sp. SM30. RNAcentral's name for it is "tRNA-Ala". Lineage: Bacteria; Pseudomonadati; Pseudomonadota; Alphaproteobacteria; Hyphomicrobiales; Pleomorphomonadaceae. RNAcentral also lists the same sequence under 1 other name. The record is from RNAcentral.